RNAcentral lists this ribosomal RNA (482 nucleotides) under uncultured bacterium. Its description in RNAcentral is "partial 16S ribosomal RNA". It matches the Rfam family "Bacterial small subunit ribosomal RNA", at positions 30 to 507 of the family's 1533-position model. The record is from RNAcentral.
AUUGAACGCUGGCGGCAUGCUUUACACAUGCAAGUCGAACGGUAGCAGGCCGCAAGGUGCUGACGAGUGGCGAACGGGUGAGUAAUGCAUCGGAACGUGCCCAGUCGUGGGGGAUAACUACUCGAAAGAGUAGCUAAUACCGCAUACGAUCUAUGGAUGAAAGCGGGGGACCGUAAGGCCUCGCGCGAUUGGAGCGGCCGAUGUCAGAUUAGGUAGUUGGUGGGGUAAAGGCUCACCAAGCCAACGAUCUGUAGCUGGUCUGAGAGGACGACCAGCCACACUGGGACUGAGACACGGCCCAGACUCCUACGGGAGGCAGCAGUGGGGAAUUUUGGACAAUGGGCGCAAGCCUGAUCCAGCAAUGCCGCGUGCGGGAAGAAGGCCUUCGGGUUGUAAACUGCUUUUGUACGGAACGAAACGGCUCUGGUUAAUACCCGGGGCUAAUGACGGUACCGUAAGAAUAAGCACCGGCUAACUACGUG